RNAcentral lists this ribosomal RNA (483 nucleotides) under uncultured bacterium. RNAcentral describes it as "partial 16S ribosomal RNA". It matches the Rfam family "Bacterial small subunit ribosomal RNA", at positions 30 to 506 of the family's 1533-position model. The record is from RNAcentral.
AUUGAACGCUGGCGGCAUGCCUAACACAUGCAAGUCGAGCGGACGAAGGGAGCUUGCUCCUGUAUUCAGCGGCGGACGGGUGAGUAAUGCCUAGGAAUCUGCCUUGUCGUUGGGGAUAACGUCCGUAAACGGGCGCUAAUAUCGCAUAGGUUCUGAGGUUGAAAGUGGUGGAUCUUCGGACCUCGCGCUAUCAGAUGUGCCUAGGUCGGAUUAGCUAGUUGGUGGGGUAAAGUCGUACCAAGGCGACGAUCCGUAACUGGCCUGAGUGGAUGAUCAGUCACACUGGAACGGGGACACGGUCCAACUUCUUACGGGAGGCAGAAGUGGGGAAUAUUGGACAUUGGCCGAAAGCCUGAGCCAGCCAGGCGGGGUGUGUGAAGAAGGUCUUCGGAUGGUAAAGCCCUUUAAGUGGGGAGAAAAGGCAGUAAGUUAAUACCUUGCUGUUUUGACGUUACCAACAGAAUAAGCACCGGCUAACUUCGU